GUGUAAAUGGGCAGGAUCAAUUCCUGCCAACAAAAACCCUGCUUCAUGGAAGAAGGCCAUGCUCCAUGGCAUAGAUAUGAACUUGUUAUGAUAUUUCUGAAGAAAAGACUAUAAGGAAGACCUCUCCUAACUUAGCAACCAUUCUCCAUUUUCCAAAAGGGUAAACCAAGGCACAGAAAGAUAGGCACAAGGUAACUUAUGCAUGCAGAAGGUAACAAACACUCGUGCACACACACUGAAAAUCAGAAAGAGAGAGAGAGAGAGAGUUGCCAUAAUUAGUACUUUUGUUUAGAGAAGAAAGGCUGAGGCCUGGAGAAGUUAAGCAACAUGCUUAAAUCCACACAGCUAGUCAGAGGCAAAGCCAAGAUUUGAACGUGGGUAGUCUGAAUCCAGGAUCUUGGCCUUCACCCCUCUAUAACAUGACACCCUCAUCCCUGAAAAAAGAAAAAGUCAACUGAAAGCACUGUGAAAAGUGUCCUUUAAUAAAAUGGCUAAUUCUGGCAACAGG
This 508-nucleotide long non-coding RNA is filed under the name Pan troglodytes (chimpanzee). RNAcentral's name for it is "lincRNA". The record is from RNAcentral. Lineage: Eukaryota; Metazoa; Chordata; Mammalia; Primates; Hominidae.